This 496-nucleotide ribosomal RNA is filed under the name uncultured bacterium. RNAcentral's name for it is "partial 16S ribosomal RNA". It matches the Rfam family "Bacterial small subunit ribosomal RNA", at positions 28 to 506 of the family's 1533-position model. The record is from RNAcentral.
GAUGAACGCUGGCGGCGUGCCUAAUACAUGCAAGUCGAGCGAACAGACGAGGAGCUUGCUCCUCUGACGUUAGCGGCGGACGGGUGAGUAACACGUGGAUAACCUACCUAUAAGACUGGGAUAACUUCGGGAAACCGGAGCUAAUACCGGAUAAUAUAUUGAACCGCAUGGUUCAAUAGUGAAAGACGGUUUUGCUGUCACUUAUAGAUGGAUCCGCGCCGCAUUAGCUAGUUGGUAAGGUAACGGCUUACCAAGGCGACGAUGCGUAGCCGACCUGAGAGGGUGAUCGGCCACACUGGAACUGAGACACGGUCCAGACUCCUACGGGAGGCAGCAGUAGGGAAUCUUCCGCAAUGGGCGAAAGCCUGACGGAGCAACGCCGCGUGAGUGAUGAAGGUCUUCGGAUCGUAAAACUCUGUUAUUAGGGAAGAACAAAUGUGUAAGUAACUAUGCACGUCUGGACGGUACCUAAGCAGAAAACCACGGCUAACUACGU